This 352-nucleotide unclassified non-coding RNA is filed under the name soil metagenome. Its description in RNAcentral is "partial contains 5.8S ribosomal RNA, internal transcribed spacer 2, and large subunit ribosomal RNA". The stretch from base 1 to 121 matches the Rfam family "5.8S ribosomal RNA", at positions 35 to 154 of the family's 154-position model. The record is from RNAcentral.
GAUGAAGAACGUAGCGAAAUGCGAUAAGUAAUGCGAAUUGCAGAAUUUCCGUGAGUCAUCGAAUCUUUGAACGCACAUUGCGCCCAUUGGUAUUCCGAUGGGCAUGCCUGUUCGAGCGUCAUUAUCUUCCCUCAAACCUCGCGUUUGGUGUUGGGCCGUGCUGGUUCCUGCGUGACCAACUGGUCUAAAAGACAAUGACGGCGUCCGUGGGACCCUCGGUGCAACGAGCUUUUAGGAGCACGCGCCGAGUUGCAAGGACCUUCCGGGCCGGUCUCCUUUUACUAUUUUACAAGGUUGACCUCGGAUCAGGUAGGAAUACCCGCUGAACUUAAGCAUAUCAAUAAGCGGAGGA